CAAAAGCCAAAAGGGCAGUUGAUGUAGCUGUUGCUUCACAUCUUUUGAGAAAAAACAAAAGCAGAAGCACGAGUCUGGAUGAGAAAACAGUUGGGGAGAUGCGAUCAACACGUGUUGUCUAUUCUUCAGAACUGGAGAUCAUACUGACCUGCAGUGUCAGCCGCCUCCCUGAUGGCAGCGAUGUGGCACUGCACUUUCUCUCUGUGGAUCUCCUCUCCAGUUUGUCUGCGACUCUCGUUUCCUGCGGAAACCACCUGGGCCAAUAAUGAGUUUCUUAUAAAAAGACAAGUCGCUUGCAGGUCUGCUGCUCAGCUGGACGUUCACGAGCCUGGAGACAGCAGCCGGAUGAUUCUGCAGAGCUGCAGGAAGAAUUUUUAUUUUCAUAGGGUUUUUUACAUGUAAAAGUCUUAUCCCUACACUUAUCCCUAUAUAUAUCAUCAUAAAGAACUCCAGAUGCCAAAACACUGGAGGUGAAAAGCACCAAAACAUGUAAAUCUGUAAGAUGCUUAACUCCCACACAGCACCUGUUCUCUCUGUCUGUGACUCAGCCAAUCUGCCGGCUCCGUUACACCGGCUAACAUCCUCUGUGUGUGUCUCUGAGGAGUCAUAAAGAAACCAAGCCACUGUGAUGACGCCAUUAUCCUCCACCUGGAACAGAAGAACUCCCCAUUUCACUGCCCGAGACUACAAAACAAUACAUACAAAACAAAAGAAAACCGCAAAGAGCCUGAAGCGUCAGUCUGGUUGCUUUUAGCAUGAAAAGGCUGCAGCUGGACUUGAAACUGAUUGCAGAACUUGUACAUUCAUUUAUUAUGGCUGACAAUGCUGACAAAAGUACAAUUUAUGUGUGUCUCUUUACAGCAGUGCUGCGUCUUAAUUUUCUCCUUUGGUCACAAUGAGUUAUAGUUUAUUGCUGUGUAUUUGCCUGUCCGUCUUUACACCGCCAGUUUGCCACCAUGUGAGCAAAAAAAUCCCAUCAAUUCUGCUUCAGUUUUCCAUUGAUGUCAGCACUGGACUUUUG
Siniperca chuatsi (mandarin fish) is the source of this 1021-nucleotide long non-coding RNA. RefSeq lists it as uncharacterized. The record is from RefSeq and is a predicted model, not a curated record. Lineage: Eukaryota; Metazoa; Chordata; Actinopteri; Centrarchiformes; Sinipercidae. The transcript is spliced from 3 exons.